RNAcentral lists this ribosomal RNA (445 nucleotides) under uncultured bacterium. RNAcentral's name for it is "bacterial SSU rRNA". It matches the Rfam family "Bacterial small subunit ribosomal RNA", at positions 338 to 795 of the family's 1533-position model. The record is from RNAcentral.
CCUACGGGUUGCACCAGUGGGGAAUAUUGCACAAUGGGCGAAAGCCUGAUGCAGCGACGCCGCGUGAGGGAUGACGGCCUUCGGGUUGUAAACCUCUUUCAGCACGGAAGAAGCGAAAGUGACGGUACGUGCAGAAGAAGCGCCGGCUAACUACGUGCCAGCAGCCGCGGUAAUACGUAGGGCGCAAGCGUUGUCCGGAAUUAUUGGGCGUAAAGAGCUCGUAGGCGGUUUGUCGCGUCUGCUGUGAAAGCCCGGGGCUUAACCCCGGGUGUGCAGUGGGUACGGGCAGACUUGAGUGCAGUAGGGGAGACUGGAAUUCCUGGUGUAGCGGUGAAAUGCGCAGAUAUCAGGAGGAACACCGAUGGCGAAGGCAGGUCUCUGGGCUGUUACUGACGCUGAGGAGCGAAAGCAUGGGGAGCGAACAGGAUUAGAUACCCGUGUAGUC